GGGGUUGUGGCUCAGUGGUAGAGCUCUUGCCUAGCAUGCACAAGGCACUGGGUUCGAUCCUCAGCACCA
RNAcentral lists this transfer RNA (69 nucleotides) under Ictidomys tridecemlineatus (thirteen-lined ground squirrel). RNAcentral's name for it is "Spermophilus tridecemlineatus (thirteen-lined ground squirrel) tRNA". It matches the Rfam family "tRNA". From Rfam's summary of the family: Transfer RNA (tRNA) molecules are approximately 80 nucleotides in length. The record is from Rfam by way of RNAcentral. Lineage: Eukaryota; Metazoa; Chordata; Mammalia; Rodentia; Sciuridae. RNAcentral also lists the same sequence under 1 other name.